RNAcentral lists this ribosomal RNA (253 nucleotides) under uncultured bacterium. RNAcentral describes it as "partial 16S ribosomal RNA". It matches the Rfam family "Bacterial small subunit ribosomal RNA", at positions 524 to 776 of the family's 1533-position model. The record is from RNAcentral.
UACAGAGGAGGCAAGCGUUGUUCGGAAUCACUGGGCUUAAAGCGCGUGUAGGCGGUCGGGCAAGUACUUUGUGAAAUACCUGGGCUCAACCUGGGAAUUGCUUGGUAUACUGCUUGACUUGAGGCGGAUAGGGGUGCCUGGAACUCUAGGUGGAGCGGUGAAAUGCGUAGAUAUCUAGGGGAACGCCAGAGGCGAAAGCGGGGCACUGGGUCCGUCCUGACGCUGAGACGCGAAAGCGUAGGGAGCAAACGGG